Molecule: long non-coding RNA, 4445 nt
Filed under: Equus caballus (horse)
Lineage: Eukaryota; Metazoa; Chordata; Mammalia; Perissodactyla; Equidae
Description: lncRNA (ENSECAG00000054266.1)
Source: RNAcentral
UGAGUAGCCUCCCAGGGCUGACAGAUGGGCAGCCCUGCGAGGAAGCCACAUGGCAGGGCCGUGUUGUUGUUAAACGCAGCUCAUUAGGUUUUAUCAGCAAGAUGCUGCUCGGUUGGCAGGAACACACCUGCCCCCAGCAGGAGCGGCUGCCAGAAACGCCCUGGGAAGACUUUGGAGGGAAGGCUGGAGCCAUGGGCUUGCUCUUGGAGCCUGGCACCCUCUCCCAGACCUCAGAGGUCCUGUCUGUGGUUGGGGGGCCUCAGGGACAACUGGAGGGCACUGGCACACUGAACUGAGGCCAAGGAAGCCAGGCAUCCCGGCCUCCCCAGGGCCAAGCUAGGGGCAACGCCAAGCCUCUCCACUGGCAGCCAGCUGCCCCCAAGGCUGGACUCUGAAAACAGACCACACCAGGGGCCACAAGCUUUGUAAAAGCCUAGAUAGUCACAGGCCAGCCAUACAAAAACAGGUGGUGGGCCAGAUUUGCCAACCCCUGGACCACAAUCUCCUGGGCAAGAAAGCCAGCAAGAGAGGCCACCUACCGCUCUCCUCCAAGAUGGAACCCUCAAAUGUGGGCACCACAAAGGUCUGGGGGUUAGGGGGCCCACACAGCCCCUGUGCAUACCUGCCUCUGUCACAACACCUCGCCUGGAGGACAGGACCCACCUGAGUGUGUGUCAGUCUCCCCCCAGCUCUGGCCUGCCGCCCCGUGCCAUGCUGAGACCUCUCUCCCUACUCAGGGCCCCCCUUGGUCCCACAGGCCCCCAAGCUGCAGUGUGGCCGUCCUGACAUCUCAUGGUCCUCACUCAUAACGCAGCUCCCCCCAUGGGUUUCUGGGGCCCCAAGCUGUGCUCAAUUUCACCGUGGCCCCCCAUAACCCCCUCCGCCGUGCCAUGGUCAGUGCCAGGCAGAGCUUGUCUUCCCGACUCCCUCUGCCUUAGGUGACCUCUCUCCUCAGUCCAUCAGGCAAAUCCGCUUCUGGUGGGCUGCAGUGCACAAGCCCGGCCACAUCUGAAUCCUCUUGCACUCAUGCUGGGACCCUCACCUACUACGUUAUGGUACCAACCCCACCCCAUCUUAUAGGGAAAGACUAGCUGAAGGAGGCCUGGGUUCGAUGCCUGGCUGCAGGUUAGACAACUGGCUGCAGGACCUUGGAGCCAGUCGCUCGGCCACGCUCAGCCCCACCUUCCCAUCUGUGCAAUGCAGUGAUCGCCAUGCCCGCUUUGGAGACUCGGAAAUCAGACGCUCUACGUGGAGGGGUCCAGCGUGGGGCAUAUACGGCCCGGCGCAUGUGUGGUCCUCAGUAGCUGCUUACUCGAUCUGCAAGUGAAAUUUAAUUCCAGAAAUAGGACGAGCUGUGGAGAUGGUGGUGAAGGAACAGCCACGGGAACGCAGAGCACCCUGAUCUGAAGCUGAGGAGGUAUGAAUGCAAGUGAGGCUGGGGUCCGAACACCUCACCCCGUUCCUCAGGGCAGUGCCCACUGGCCCAUCACACAAGGUGCGGGAGGAGGACCAUCUGACCACUAGUCACAUGGUGAGACAUCAAGACUGAGAACUGUAUCCAGUGCCCUUAAACCUCCUCCAUCCUUGAGUAGGAACAGACGCUUUCCCUCAGCUGCAUCUGUCCAAGGGCUUCACCACCAGCCUAGCUUCAGCUGGGAUGGCUUUGGCUGCAAGUAACACCAGAGCAAACCCGGCUCAAACAAUAGAGGCUAAUGAGGAGUCUGGAGGUUGGAGGUUCCAGGCUGGGUUCACAGGGCGCAGGUCACAUCCUCCAAGAGUCCAUUGUGUUGGCCUCGCCUUCCCGCUUGUAAGAUGGCUGCUGCAGGUAUUGCUUCCCCAAGCACCAACAUCCCAUGACCCCAAGCUGGGGGAGGGUGCUUCUCAUCUAAAUCAAGUCCCCAGGAGACUUUCCUCAAGUUCCAGCGGCCAGAACUGGGUCACAGGCCCAGCCCUAAAACGAUCGUUGGCAAAGGAGAGAGAGCUGAGCUGGAGGCGGACCCCCACGGAGGACACGGCACCCAUACCUGAGCACAUGUGGGGUUCUGCUGGAAGGAAGAUGGCGGGAGUGGACGUUCAGUUGCAAACCAGCUGAGCUGCCAGGCCUUGUUGGGAUUUUGGGGUUUCAGCUUCUGCAUUAUUUUUAACUAGAGAUAUUAUACUGUCAAAACAAGUGAGUCAUCAUGCCCUUCUGACAGGAGCCUGGUGGAUUAUUAGUACUUCCAUCCAAAUUCCCAGGGAGACACAGGUGCAUGGAUGGGACGAGGAAAGGCACUGCACUACGCAUGAGAGAAACAGUCCCUAAAACAUUAAGGGAAAAAAUGAACUGAAUUGUCCAGAUACUUCGUGGGCUGCCCCAACAGAAAGUGGGAGCUUCUCCUGGCCCCUACUGGUCACUGAAAUGGUUCAAAAAGCCUUGAGAACACCAGGCAGGGGCCAGGUUACUGGCAUUCUGACCCUAGAUGAGCUUGGCCUCAGUUUCCUCAUUUGUAAAAUCAGCAUUUGGUGUCAAGGGUCAAGAUCCUUGCCUCUCUGAUCCUCCGUGACUCAACCUUGAACCAUAAAUGACAAGCAGGACCCGAGGCUUGAAACCAGCAGUGUCCUGGGUCCUGGUAGUUCCCUCUAGACUGAUGGAGAUACUGCAGUGAUGAUGGUGAUGGUACCCAGCACACUGAGCACUUGCUAAGUGCCAUGCAUUGUUCUACAUGUGUUAUCUCACUUAAUUCCCACAACAAUCCUAUGGAAUGAUUACUUUUAUUAUGCCCCUGUAACAGAUGAGGAAACUGAGGCUUAGGGAGGCUCCUGCCUAUGUUCACCUCUCAUGGACUAAAUUACAUUCCUCCAGAAUUCAUCUGUUGAAUCCGUAACCCAUACUGUGAGCGUGUUAGGAGAUAGGCCCUUUAAAGAGGUAGCUAGAGUUAAAUGAGGUCAUAAGGAUGGGGCCCUAAUUCAGUGUGACCCAUGUGCUUAGACGAAGAGGAAGAGACAGCAGGGAUGCACACCGAGGAGAGGCCAUGUGAGGAAACGGUGAGAAGGUGGCCAUCUGCAAGCCAUGGAGAGAGGCCUCAGAAGAAAGCAGACCUGCCCACACCUUGACCUUGCACUUCUAGCCUCAGAACUGUGAGAGAAUAAACUUCUGAGCCACUCAGCCUGUGGGAUUUUGUUACGGCAGCCAGAGGACUAACCCAUCACCCCACGGCAGAGCCAACAUUGGAACCAGGCAGUUCGACUUCAGAGCCACCUUCUUAAGGACCUCAUCAUCUACAAUGGAACCCUCUAAUUGGAGAGGAGGGUAAUAGAUAGCCUCAUGGCUGGGUCUGCAUGUACAAAGUAUACAGAUUGCCAGAUCCCAGCCCCUCCCUCCUUACUCAACAAAAGACAGUCCGUUCAGGACCAGCCAAGACCCAUGUUUUGCGUGGAAAUCAUCACAGGGAAAUAGAAGCCAGAGUCCAGUGGGUGUCUAGAACCAGCUGGCUAACUUGUAGAGCUGGGUCCUGCCUACAAUGCCUAUAGGCACCAAGGGGAUUUCAAUCAGAGGUUUUAAAUGGUAUCACCAUCUGCUUCCCAGGCAACAAUCUUGAAUGCUGCCCGAAACGAACAGUCCUGGACUUAAAUCGUCUCUUCCCCAGGAGUGGGAUCUUAGGCAAGUCACUUCACCCUCUGAGCCUCAGUUUCCCCAUCUGUCACAUAAUCAUUCGGGCUCUGCAGCAGUGCCGUGAGGAUAAAGAGGUUAACCUGUGGGCAAGAGCUUCACAGAUGGUGUUAAUUCAGGAACACCCAACCAGAGGGACAACCUGAACUCCCUUAGCUUCAUCAAAGCAAAACUUACGGCUACAAAUCCCCUGGCAGGCAGCCGCCAGUCCUUUCUAGAAGGAGCUGGGUAUAAAUUAUAGAUCACAGCCUAUCAGAUCAGCUGCUGUUCUGGUUCUGACCUCCCUGCGGGCAGGAAUCUGGGCUGGCUCCCUCAAAGCGCCUCCCAGGGCCCCGGGGAUCUCUGCUACCCCUGCAGUGCCUACCUCUUGCCCCCAGCUUUCCUUCCCCCAAAGACAAAUGCUCCUUGGCCUAGGGGUGAGGGGACUCCCAGAAGGACUCCCAGAAAGCAGCCCUCCCAUCGGCUUCCAAAGUUUGGAGCUGGCCACCACCGGAACCCCAAACCCCAGCCCCGCUGAGCACGCCCACUGCAUCCUCCAUCCCCCAGGAGAGGCUUCAUCCCAGGAUGGGAGAGGAGCAGAAUGCCCUGGGGGAAUUUGUGUUUGAGGUUGGGAGCCAGCAAGAGGCUGUGGUGAAAGCAGCCGUGUUUUUAUCGGCAGGGCCUGCCCGCCUGAGGGGACCCAAUGAGAUCCCUUGCUUCCUUCCUGUGGCCGCUGCCCUCUCCACCUUCACUCACACACAUCUCGCCCAUGUUCCCAGGCCACACGCGGAACUGGGCUUCUCUCCCUUCCCCAGCC